GAGAAUACUCUUAAUACCGCGUAAUAUCUUUCGGGGGCAUUCCUGAGGGAUUAAAGGAAGCGAUUCCGGCUACGGAUGGGCAUGCGGCGCAUUAGCUAGUCGGCGGGGUAACGGCCCACCGAGGCGACGAUGCGUAGGGGUUCUGAGAGGAAGGUCCCCCACACUGGUACUGAGACACGGACCAGACUCCUACGGAAGGCAGCAG
Molecule: ribosomal RNA, 205 nt
Filed under: uncultured bacterium
Lineage: Bacteria
Description: partial 16S ribosomal RNA
Rfam family: Bacterial small subunit ribosomal RNA
Source: RNAcentral